Anneissia japonica is the source of this 774-nucleotide long non-coding RNA. RefSeq lists it as uncharacterized. Lineage: Eukaryota; Metazoa; Echinodermata; Crinoidea; Comatulida; Comatulidae. The record is from RefSeq and is a predicted model, not a curated record. The transcript is spliced from 3 exons.
UGGAAAUUAACAAAGGUGCUUUUGAAUGUUAUCAGUUAACUGAAAUUUGUUAGUGGUUUUAGAGCUCUUUUUCAGUGCACAUUCAUGAUGCAGGCAGUUUAACCAUAUUUUCUGAAGUAUUUCAGCAGUACUAAUAGAAUUUGUUGGUAAAGGAUUUUUUUUUCUUUAAGUGAAAACUCAUGAAGUAAGAAGGUGUUAAUGUUUGUUUAAAGCAUUAUUGCGGCAGUCGGAGAAACAGGAAAUUGCCUGACUUUCAAAGGGUUUCAAAAUGCACAGGACAACUGCAUGUAUCACUUUUCUCUGAUUUAAAGAAUUGUUUUGUUAUAUCUUUCAACAUGUGAAGCAAGGGUGAAAAUCUGAAGCCAUCAUGAUUCAAUAUUUCAAACCUAGUUUGGUCACUCUGCAGAAUUCACAAUUUCAUCUUUCAGCAAGAUUUCCAAUUUGCUUUGCUACCAUUGGACAAGAAAAAGUACGGAUAUAGACAGUUCAUACAGAAAAUUGCUGGUUUAUACACAACUGUAACGCGACAGAUUUUUGAACAGGGUUUUGUAUAGUAAACUCUAGUUGAGGCUUUAAUAUAAAUUACAGAAAAAAAAAACUGAUUUGAAAACUGUAAAGCAUUUAGGUACCGCUGGAAUUUGAAGGAUGUGCAUCAGUAAGGCUUAGGACGAACAAUAUUAUGUGAAGGGGUAUGCAAGUCAUCGAGACCCUAGGGAUUAAUAUCCCUACCCCAUGAUGCAUAGUUGAUGUUUUUAAUUAAAGAAAUCAUGGUUU